RNAcentral lists this ribosomal RNA (468 nucleotides) under Campylobacter coli. Its description in RNAcentral is "partial 23S ribosomal RNA". It matches the Rfam family "Bacterial large subunit ribosomal RNA", at positions 1271 to 1732 of the family's 2925-position model. RNAcentral also lists the same sequence under 1 other name. The record is from RNAcentral. Lineage: Bacteria; Pseudomonadati; Campylobacterota; Epsilonproteobacteria; Campylobacterales; Campylobacteraceae.
UGCUGGAGCGAAUAGAAGUGAGCAUGCAGGCAUGAGUAGCGAUAAUUAAUGUGAGAAUCAUUAACGCCGUAAACCCAAGGUUUCCUACGCGAUGCUCGUCAUCGUAGGGUUAGUCGGGUCCUAAGUCGAGUCCGAAAGGGGUAGACGAUGGCAAAUUGGUUAAUAUUCCAAUACCAACAUUAGUGUGCGAUGGAAGGACGCUUAGGGCUAAGGGGGCUAGCGGAUGGAAGUGCUAGUCUAAGGUCGUAGGAGGUUAUACAGGCAAAUCCGUAUAACAAUACUCCGAGAACUGAAAGGCUUUUUGAAGUCUUCGGAUGGAUAGAAGAACCCCUGAUGCCGUCGAGCCAAGAAAAGUUUCUAAGUUUAGCUAAUGUUGCCCGUACCGUAAACCGACACAGGUGGGUGGGAUGAGUAUUCUAAGGCGCGUGGAAGAACUCUCUUUAAGGAACUCUGCAAAAUAGCACCGUA